This 274-nucleotide ribosomal RNA is filed under the name uncultured Bacillota bacterium. Its description in RNAcentral is "uncultured Firmicutes bacterium partial 16S ribosomal RNA". It matches the Rfam family "Bacterial small subunit ribosomal RNA", at positions 69 to 339 of the family's 1533-position model. Lineage: Bacteria; Bacillati; Bacillota. The record is from RNAcentral.
AGGGAAAGAGCUUGCUCUUUUCAGAAUUGAGUGGCAAACGGGUGAGUAACACGUAAACAACCUGCCUUUCAGAGGGGGACAACAGUUGGAAACGACUGCUAAUACCGCAUGAAGCGUAUUGAUCGCAUGGUCGAUACGCCAAAGAUUUAUCGCUGAAAGAUGGCCUCGCGUCUGAUUAGCUAGUUGGUGAGGUAACGGCCCACCAAGGCGACGGUCAGUAGCCGGCCUGAGAGGGUGAACGGCCACAUUGGGACUGAGACACGGCCCAAACUCC